UGAGCAAUCUGCCCUUCUCAUCGGAAUAAGCGUUGGAAACGACGUCUAAUGCCGAAUACGACCUCCUUUCGCAUGAUCGGAGGUGGAAAGCUCCGGCGGAGAAGGAUGAGCUCGCGGCCUAUCAGCUAGUUGGUGUGGGUAAUGGCCCACCAAGGCGACGACGGGUAGCCGGCCUGAGAGGGCGAUCGGCCACACUGGGACUGAGACACGGCCCAGACUCCUAGGGAAG
This 229-nucleotide ribosomal RNA is filed under the name uncultured bacterium. RNAcentral describes it as "partial 16S ribosomal RNA". It matches the Rfam family "Bacterial small subunit ribosomal RNA", at positions 118 to 347 of the family's 1533-position model. The record is from RNAcentral.